This 429-nucleotide ribosomal RNA is filed under the name Chloroflexota bacterium. Its description in RNAcentral is "Chloroflexi bacterium partial 16S ribosomal RNA". It matches the Rfam family "Bacterial small subunit ribosomal RNA", at positions 355 to 776 of the family's 1533-position model. The record is from RNAcentral. Lineage: Bacteria; Bacillati; Chloroflexota.
UGGGGAAUAUUGCACAAUGGGCGCAAGCCUGAUGCAGCCAUGCCGCGUGUAUGAAGAAGGCCUUCGGGUUGUAAAGUACUUUCAGCGGGGAGGAAGGGAGUAAAGUUAAUACCUUUGCUCAUUGACGUUACCCGCAGAAGAAGCACCGGCUAACUCCGUGCCAGCAGCCGCGGUAAUACGGAGGGUGCAAGCGUUAAUCGGAAUUACUGGGCGUAAAGCGCACGCAGGCGGUUUGUUAAGUCAGAUGUGAAAUCCCCGGGCUUAACCCGGGAAUUGCAUCUGAUACUGGUCAGCUCGAGUCUUGUAGAGGGGGGUAGAAUUCCAUGUGGAGGGGUGAAAUGCGUAGAGAUGUGGAGGGAUACCGGUGGCGAAGGCGGCCCCCUGGACAAAGACUGACGCUCAGGUGCGAAAGCGUGGGGAGCAAACAGG